UACGUAGGGUGCGAGCGUUAAUCGGAAUUACUGGGCGUAAAGCGUGCGCAGGCGGUUCGUUAAGUCAGAUGUGAAAGCCCCGGGCUCAACCUGGGAACUGCAUUUGAAACUGGCGGGCUUGAGUAUGGCAGAGGGGGGUGGAAUUCCGCGUGUAGCAGUGAAAUGCGUAGAGAUGCGGAGGAACACCGAUGGCGAAGGCAGCCCCCUGGGCCAAUACUGACGCUCAGACACGAAAGCGUGGGGAGCAAACAGG
RNAcentral lists this ribosomal RNA (253 nucleotides) under uncultured bacterium. RNAcentral describes it as "partial 16S ribosomal RNA". It matches the Rfam family "Bacterial small subunit ribosomal RNA", at positions 524 to 776 of the family's 1533-position model. The record is from RNAcentral.